GAUUGAAUCGUGAAACCGCGAAUGGCUCGUUAUAACAGCUAUAAUUUACUUGAUCUUGAGACAAUCCUACUUGGAUAACUGUGGUAAUUCUAGAGCUAAUACAUGCAUUAAAGCUCCGACCUUACGGGAAGAGUGCAUUUAUUAGAAAAAAACCAAGCGGCUUCGGCUGUUUUCGGUUGACUCACAAUAACUGAGCUGAUCGCAUGGUCUUGCACCGGCGACGUGUCUUUCAAGUAUCUGCCGUAUCAACUUUCGAUGGUAGUGUAUCUGACUACCAUGGUGAUAACGCGUAACGGAGAAUAAGGGUUCGGCUCCGGAGAGUUCGCCUGAGAAAUCGCGAACACAUCUAAGGAAGGCAGCAGGCGCGAAAAUUACCCACUCUCAGAACGAGGAGGUAGUGACGAAAAAUAACGAGACCGUUCUCUUACGAGGCCGGUCAUCGGAAUGGGUACAAUUUAAACCCUUUAACGAGUAUCUAUGAGAGGGCAAGUCUGGUGCCAGCAGCCGCGGUAAUUCCAGCUCUCAAAGUGCAUAGAAUUAUUGCUGCGGUUAAAAAGCUCGUAGUUGGAUCUGUGCCAUAGGACUGUGUCGACCUUCGGGUCCGUACAUGGCUUCUUGGCUUUUUGCCGGUUUUCCCGUCAUAGCCUUGACUGGUCGUGGCGGGUGGCUGGCGAGUUUACCUUGAGAAAAUCAGGGUGCUCAAAACAGGCGUUUGGCUUGAAUGAUUGUGCAUGGAAUAAUGGAAAAGGAUUUCGGUUCUCUUUUAUUGGUUUUGUGGACUGAAAUAAUGGUUAAGAGGGACAAACGGGGGCAUUCGUAUCGCUGCGUGAGAGGUGAAAUUCUUGGACCGUAGCGAGACGCCCUACUGCGAAAGCAUUUGCCAAGAAUG
RNAcentral lists this ribosomal RNA (889 nucleotides) under Siconema ovispicatum. RNAcentral's name for it is "SSU rRNA". It matches the Rfam family "Eukaryotic small subunit ribosomal RNA", at positions 72 to 966 of the family's 1831-position model. Lineage: Eukaryota; Metazoa; Nematoda; Chromadorea; Rhabditida; Ungellidae. The record is from RNAcentral.